Molecule: ribosomal RNA, 785 nt
Filed under: uncultured Neocallimastigales
Lineage: Eukaryota; Fungi; Neocallimastigomycota; Neocallimastigomycetes; Neocallimastigales
Description: partial large subunit ribosomal RNA
Rfam family: Eukaryotic large subunit ribosomal RNA
Source: RNAcentral
AUAGAGACUCAGAGCUGCAUAUCAAUAAGCGGAGGAAAAGAAACUAACUAGGAUUCCCUUCAGUAACGGCGAGUGAAGCGGGAAGAGCUCAAAUUUGAAAUCUUCAAGGUUCUACCUUGACGAAUUGUAGUUUAAAGAAGUGUUUUCUGUUGAAGUUUUGGUAAAAGUUCUUUGGAAUAGGACAUCAUAGAGGGUGAGAAUCCCGUAUUUGAUCCACUUUCUUACUAACUGUUGUGAUACACUUUCAAAGAGUCGGAUUGUUUGGGAAUGCAGUCCAAAAUGGGUGGUAAAUUUCAUCCUAAAGCUAAAUAUUGGCGAGAGACCGAUAGCGAACAAGUACCGUGAGGGAAAGAUGAAAAGAACUUUGAAAAGAGAGUUAAACAGUACGUGAAAUUGUCGAAAGGGAAGCGUUUGACACCAGUGUUGUUUUCUCGAAAAUCAAUUAAAAAUGACCGGAUUUUGUGUUGUAUUGACUUUAUCAGCUUUCUGCACUUUUUUCUUGUCUUUUUUAAUGCACUUUUUCGUUUAACAAGUCAACAUCAAUUUCUUUUGUUGUAAAAGAGUCAUUGGAAGGUGGCUUUCACUUCGGUGAAAGUGUUUAUAGCCUUUGGACUUCUGCAAUCGGAGAGAUUGAGGUCUGCAGCGUAGAUCCUUCGGGGUUAGAUACAUUUGUGCUAAGUUUAUAGCUUUUCAUAGACAACUAUGUUGACUAUGAUUAAGUCAUGUAGCUUACUCGCUUAUGCUAUUUUACCUACGCUUAGGAUGUUGAAGAUAUGCGCGACACG